UACGUAGGGGGCAAGCGUUGUCCGGAAUCAUUGGGCGUAAAGAGCGUGUAGGCGGCUCGGUAAGUCUGCUGUGAAAGUCCAGGGCUCAACCCUGGAAGGCCGGUGGAAACUGUCGGGCUAGAGUCCGGAAGAGGCGAGUGGAAUUCCCGGUGUAGCGGUGAAAUGCGCAGAUAUCGGGAGGAACACCAAUGGCGAAGGCAGCUCGCUGGGACGGUACUGACGCUGAGACGCGAAAGCGUGGGGAGCAAACAGG
RNAcentral lists this ribosomal RNA (253 nucleotides) under uncultured bacterium. RNAcentral describes it as "partial 16S ribosomal RNA". It matches the Rfam family "Bacterial small subunit ribosomal RNA", at positions 524 to 776 of the family's 1533-position model. The record is from RNAcentral.